This 443-nucleotide long non-coding RNA is filed under the name Vigna radiata. RNAcentral describes it as "long non-coding RNA (VRAD_LNC005786)". Lineage: Eukaryota; Viridiplantae; Streptophyta; Magnoliopsida; Fabales; Fabaceae. The record is from RNAcentral.
UCUUGAACAUCUAACGUCUACCAAGACUUUAAAAAUUAAUUUUAACCAAUGUUUUAGUUAAAAUUGUAGGGAGGGGUUCCACACUCACAAAUACACAUAAGUCUCCACAUUUGAUAACAUCCUCCCCUCAAACAAAGGACCACCUCCCCUACCGCGGAAGUCUUUUUCUUAUCCUCGAGUACACCAUGGUCAACACUUCUCUCUCACAAUCCAUAGUCAAACACUGAGCAUCUCUUUCUCUCUCUCCACCUCUCAUGAUUCACUUCCAGGCUAUUAGCUAUGGCCAAAGCUUCACCAGAUCAUGGAGGAAUGUACUCGACUUGAGCCCGGUCACCAGACCCAAACCAUGGGCUCUGAUACGAUUUGUAGGGAGGGGUUCCACACUCACACAUACACAUAAGUCUCCACAUUUGAUAAGAUAUUGUCCGCUUUGGGUCAAGCCC